UAUCUCUGUAGAGUCUGCAUAUCAAUAAGCGGAGGAAAAGAAACUAACUAGGAUUCCCUCAGUAACGGCGAGUGAAGCGGGAAGAGCUCAAAUUUGAAAUCUUCGAGGUUCUACCUUGACGAAUUGUAGUUUAAAGAAGUGUUUUCUGUUGGAGUUUUGGUAAAAGUUCUUUGGAAUAGGACAUCAUAGAGGGUGAGAAUCCCGUAUUUGACCAUUAUUUCCAGCUUUGUGAUACACUUUCAAAGAGUCGGAUUGUUUGGGAAUGCAGUCCAAAAUGGGUGGUAAAUUUCAUCUAAAGCUAAAUAUUGGCGAGAGACCGAUAGCGAACAAGUACCGUGAGGGAAAGAUGAGAAGAACUUUGAAAAGAGAGUUAAACAGUACGUGAAAUUGUCAAAAGGGAAGCGUUUAACACCAGUGUUGUUUUCUCGAAAAUCAAUUAAAAAAAGUUGGAUUUUGUAUUGUUAAGACCUUAUCAGCUUACUGUACUCUUUUCUUGCUUUUUUUAAUGCACUUUUCGUUUAACAAGUCAACAUCAAUUUCUUUUGUUGUAAAAGAGUCAUUGGAAGGUGGCUUUCACUUCGGUGAAAGUGUUUAUAGCCUUUGGCUUCUGCAAUCGGAGAGAUUGAGGUCUGCAGCGUAGAUCCUUCGGGGCUAGAUACGUAGAUGCUAAGUUAUAGUUUUUUAUAGACAACUUGUUGACUAUAAUUAAUCAUGUAGCUUACUCGUUUGCGCUAUUUUACCUACGCUUAGGAUGUUGACGAUCAGCUGAGCGCG
RNAcentral lists this ribosomal RNA (774 nucleotides) under uncultured Neocallimastigales. RNAcentral's name for it is "partial large subunit ribosomal RNA". It matches the Rfam family "Eukaryotic large subunit ribosomal RNA", at positions 24 to 635 of the family's 3401-position model. The record is from RNAcentral. Lineage: Eukaryota; Fungi; Neocallimastigomycota; Neocallimastigomycetes; Neocallimastigales.